CCGCAGUCAUGAACUGUAGCCACAGCUGGAACUAUUGGAACAUUCCAGGAGAUGAAAACAAAGAUUCCCUCCUCCUUCCCUUCCAUCUUACUGAGGACACAUCAGUCACCCUUGUGUGUGCACUUUAGCCACAGCAAGAGCAAGAUCAGAGAGAAAUAAGGACUUAUGACCAUUAGACCAGGAGACAGGAAGCGAUGGUUCUGGAAGGGGCUCUGUUACUAACUUUGGAGUUCAACUGUCCAGAUAGAAAGGUGGACAUGGAAAAAUUGGGCUUUGCAAACAGUCACCCAAUUCUUGCCUUCCUGGUCCCUGGAUCACCCUUCCUAUACCACCACUGUGGAGAAAGAAGUACAGGACACUAACAAGGUACAACUACUUUCUACCCUGCCAGGACUUGACUUAAAAGAUGACCAUGCACAGAACAUUGCCCAAGAUGCUUGCCUUUCCUCUUUGCAGACAUGAUUUGGCAGGAAUUUAGUCUUCCAUUUAGGCGAUUAAGGAUGUGGUUUGAUGUUUCUAUUUAAUCUUUAUGCAGCGGCCUUCAUGAGCCAGGUCAAAUCUCAUCAAAGUUUCAAGUGAAAAGCAGUUGUUCUUUGCCCACUGAACUCAAAUAUUUUAUCAUAAGUCUUCACUAAAUGCCUAAUGUAUGCAGCAAAAAAAUAAAUAUAAGUCACAGAAAAACAUUUAAAGAAACAUGUUCAGAAUCCAUAACUAAAAAACUAAUAUAAAGCAAAUCAAAGAAGGUAAUUUAGGCCUAGGAGUUAGAGGACUAGAAUUAUUCAGGCCAUGUGGCUUAAAUGCUUAUAGAAUAGUGGUUUCUGGCACAGUCUCUCGAGUCAGAAUGCCUCAUUCAAAUCCUGGGUCUUUCAUUGACUACCUAUGCAACUUUGGGUUAUCACAAAGUUUAAUUAAUAUACAUAAAACACUCACACCAGUAUUUCACACAGAGGGUAAGUGUUAGCUAAUGCCGUUGUUAUUAUUGGUGUUGCUAUUAUGAGCUACAAAACAUGAACAAUUGAAUUCUAUCUUUGGGCAGCAAUGUCUUUAUUCAUAAAAUGAGGGCAAGAUAUUAUCUUUUCUAACUAUGUUCUGAAAUGACUUGGGGCUCCUCUGCCCCAUCCCAUUCUACAUUUUAUUCAUUUUAUUCAUCAUCUUGGGGUUUCAUGUACUUUUUUACUUGCAGAAAGGACUCUAAAAAACAAGUUGCAAAUCACUAGGCCAGAUGGUAUAAGGUCUGUCUUCAACGAAAGUUUUGAUUCUCUGAGUGAAAAAAAUGCUCUUGACAGGGGACAGUGGGAUGAAGUGGUCUCAGAGGAGGUGGCAUCAUACCAGGGGGAGCUUCUUGGAAGAAGUGAGUUGGAAAGUUAAAAUCUGGGUGUUUCUAGCAGUUGGUAAACCUGGAAGAGAAGUUGUAAUUCCCAAAGAGAGGUGAGUGUGCAACAUAGAUAUAGAACCAAAACUAUGCAGGGAGAAAAAGUUUCAACGACCCAAAUCCCUGCAGUCAGGGAGAGAGAAUGAGUAGACAAAGGCUUCAAGAUAAUAGUCUCAAAUUGAAGUUUGAUUAAAGUUUGAAGCAAUGAACAAGGUGAGAAAAGAUGAUUGGCUCUAUUGAGGAAAGCAGCACCUCACCUAUCCUCUUUUUUGCACGGACAGGAAAGCAAUGUUUAGAGGAAGAAGGCUCUUGUCCGUGGGCACACAAUUAGUCACCAACCCUGGUAGUCAUUAUUAGCUGCGAACCAACUAGCCAUUCUCCCUUUUUCCUUAGCAAUAGCUAACUUUUUAGCUAGGCACAUUGCUGAUUGAAUUAAAGAAAACAUGUCUGAUAUGGCUUGGCUCUGUGUCCCCACCCACAUCUAAUCUUGAAUUGUAAUCCCUACAUGUGGAGUGAGGGAAGUGAUUGGAUUACGGGGGCAGUUUCUCCCAUGCUGU
Long non-coding RNA from Macaca mulatta (Rhesus monkey), 1929 nucleotides. Lineage: Eukaryota; Metazoa; Chordata; Mammalia; Primates; Cercopithecidae. The record is from Ensembl.